This 372-nucleotide ribosomal RNA is filed under the name uncultured Glomus. RNAcentral's name for it is "SSU rRNA". It matches the Rfam family "Eukaryotic small subunit ribosomal RNA", at positions 569 to 941 of the family's 1831-position model. The record is from RNAcentral. Lineage: Eukaryota; Fungi; Glomeromycota; Glomeromycetes; Glomerales; Glomeraceae.
AGCAGCCGCGGUAAUUCCAGCUCCAAUAGCGUAUAUUAAAGUUGUUGCAGUUAAAAAGCUCGUAGUUGAAUUUCGGGAUCAAUAUGUUGGUCGUGCCUUGGUACGUACUGGCAUUAUUGGUUUCUCCCUUCUGACGAACCACGAUGUCAUUAAUUUGGUGUCAUGGGAAAUCAGGACUGUUACUUUAGAAAAAAUUAGAGUAGUUUAAAGCAAGCUCGCGCUUGAAUACAUUAGCAUGGAAUAAUAGAAAUAGGACGUUUGAUUCUAUUUUGUUGGUUUCUAGGAUCGACGUAAUGAUUAAUAGGGAUAGGUUGGGGGCAUUAGUAUUCAAUUGUCAGAGGUAGAAAUUCUUGGAUUUAUUGAAGACUAACU